UGUCUUUUUGGGGGGAAUUGGGCCCCCUGUCUUCUCCGCACCCGGGGCCCCUAAGCAGCAGUGUCUGGCCACGCCCCCGCAGUGGGAGGUCGGCCUCCGCUGGUGGCCACAGAUGGCCUAAGGCUGGCGGGUCUUUGAUUGGCCCCGGCUUUGCCCUGGCCACACCCCCCUCUGCGCUGGGAUUGGCUUAGUGCUGGGGUUCCCACCCACCCACAGGCCGCAAUGGCGUCUCAGCUCCAGAACCGGCUCCGCUCCGCACUGGCCUUGGUCACAGGUGCGGGGAGCGGCAUCGGCCGAGCAGUCAGUGUACGCCUGGCCGGAGAGGGGGCCACCGUAGCUGCCUGCGACCUGGACGGGGCAGCGGCACAGGAGACGGUGCGGCUGCUGGGCGGGCCAGGGAACAAGGAGGGGCCGCCCCGAGGGAACCACGCUGCCUUCCAGGCUGACGUGUCUGAGGCCAGAGCCGCCAGGCGCCUGCUGGAACAAGUGCAGGCCUGCUUUUCUCGCCCACCAUCUGUCGUUGUGUCCUGUGCGGGCAUCACCCAGGAUGAGUUUCUGCUGCACAUGUCUGAGGAUGACUGGGACAAAGUCAUAGCUGUCAACCUCAAGGGUACCUUCCUAGUCACUCAGGCUGCAGCACAAGCCCUGGUGUCCAGUGGUUGUCGUGGUUCCAUCAUCAACAUCAGUAGCAUCACAGGAAAGGUGGGGAACAUGGGGCAGACAAACUAUGUAGCAUCCAAGGCUGGAGUGAUUGGGCUGACCCAGACUGCAGCCCGGGAGCUUGGACGACAUGGGAUCCGCUGUAACUCUGUCCUCCCAGGGUUCAUUGCAACACCCAUGACACAGAAAGUGCCACAGAAAGUGGUGGACAAGAUUACUGAAAUGAUCCCGAUGGGAUACUUGGGGGACCCUGAGGGUGAGCACUGAAUGGAGAGGAGUCCCUGGGAAGGGGGCCUGAAUGAAGAGAUCCCCAAGGUUUUGGGAUUUUCUACGGGACUGGUGAUGUGGCAGAUGUGGUCGCAUUCUUGGCAUCUGAAGACAGUGGAUACAUCACAGGGGCCUCAGUGGAAGUCACUGGAGGUCUUUUCAUGUAACUGCCUCAAGCACCCUGGACUCUGCUCACCCCCCAUCACUCUGCCUGGCCUCCUGCUGAUGAGGACUCUAAGUUCCCAGGCUACAAAAGGGGUGGCAGUGUAUGGCUCAGGAAUGCUGAAUAUGGGAAGCAGGGGUGCUUGUGACCCUAAUAAAUUCCAAAUCCUCUUCCCUGCCA
This is a non-coding RNA of Chlorocebus sabaeus (green monkey), 1270 nucleotides long. The record is from RefSeq and is a predicted model, not a curated record. Lineage: Eukaryota; Metazoa; Chordata; Mammalia; Primates; Cercopithecidae.